AUUUAAAGAAAGCGUAAUAGCUCACUGGUCGAGUCGGCCUGCGCGGAAGAUGUAACGGGGCUAAACCAUGCACCGAAGCUGCGGCAGCGACACUGUGUGUUGUUGGGUAGGGGAGCGUUCUGUAAGCCUGUGAAGGUGUGUCGUGAGGCAUGCUGGAGGUAUCAGAAGUGCGAAUGCUGACAUAAGUAACGAUAAAGCGGGUGAAAAGCCCGCUCGCCGGAAGACCAAGGGUUCCUGUCCAACGUUAAUCGGGGCAGGGUGAGUCGACCCCUAAGGCGAGGCCGAAAGGCGUAGUCGAUGGGAAACGGGUUAAUAUUCCCGUACUUGGUGUUACUGCGAAGGGGGGACGGAGAAGGCUAUGUUGGCCGGGCGACGGUUGUCCCGGUUUAAGCGUGUAGGUGUGUGUUCCAGGUAAAUCCGGUUCACUUUAACACUGAGGCGUGACGACGAGGCACUACGGUGCUGAAGCAACAAAUGCCCUGCUUCCAGGAAAAGCCUCUAAGCAUCAGGUAACAUCAAAUCGUACCCCAAACCGACACAGGUGGUCAGGUAGAGAAUACCAAGGCGCUUGAGAGAACUCGGGUGAAGGAACUAGGCAAAAUGGUGCCGUAACUUCGGGAGAAGGCACGCUGACACGUAGGUGAAGUGAUUUACUCAUGGAGCUGAAGUCAGUCGAAGAUACCAGCUGGCUGCAACUGUUUAUUAAAAACACAGCACUGUGCAAACACGAAAGUGGACGUAUACGGUGUGACGCCUGCCCGGUGCCGGAAGGUUAAUUGAUGGGGUCAGCGCAAGCGAAGCUCCUGAUCGAAGCCCCGGUAAACGGCGGCCGUAACUAUAACGGUCCUAAGGUAGCGAAAUUCCUUGUCGGGUAAGUUCCGACCUGCACGAAUGGCGUAAUGAUGGCCAGGCUGUCUCCACCCGAGACUCAGUGAAAUUGAACUCGCUGUGAAGAUGCAGUGUACCCGCGGCAAGACGGAAAGACCCCGUGAACCUUUACUAUAGCUUGACACUGAACAUUGAGCCUUGAUGUGUAGGAUAGGUGGGAGGCUUUGAAGUGUGGACGCCAGUCUGCAUGGAGCCGACCUUGAAAUACCACCCUUUAAUGUUUGAUGUUCUAACGUGGACCCGUUACCCGGGUUGCGGACAGUGUCUGGUGGGUAGUUUGACUGGGGCGGUCUCCUCC
This 1186-nucleotide ribosomal RNA is filed under the name Salmonella enterica. RNAcentral describes it as "partial 23S ribosomal RNA". It matches the Rfam family "Bacterial large subunit ribosomal RNA", at positions 1121 to 2290 of the family's 2925-position model. RNAcentral also lists the same sequence under 1 other name. The record is from RNAcentral. Lineage: Bacteria; Pseudomonadati; Pseudomonadota; Gammaproteobacteria; Enterobacterales; Enterobacteriaceae.